UACGUAGGGGGCAAGCGUUAUCCGGAUUUACUGGGUGUAAAGGGAGCGUAGACGGCUGUGCAAGUCUGGAGUGAAAGGCAUGGGCUCAACCUGUGGACUGCUUUGGAAACUGUGCGGCUUGAGUGUCGGAGAGGCAAGUGGAAUUCCUAGUGUAGCGGUGAAAUGCGUAGAUAUUAGGAGGAACACCAGUGGCGAAGGCGGCUUGCUGGACGAUGACUGACGUUGAGGCUCGAAAGCGUGGGGAGCAAACAGG
Molecule: ribosomal RNA, 253 nt
Filed under: uncultured bacterium
Lineage: Bacteria
Description: partial 16S ribosomal RNA
Rfam family: Bacterial small subunit ribosomal RNA
Source: RNAcentral